CAUGUGCUAGCCAAAGACCACGACUUACGAGUUAGAAGUUGUAACCAACAAAACAUAAUCCUCUAGCCGUCCAGUGAAUUAAACGUGUACGGUUCAGAUACGUCUUAAUGGUUGAAGAUCAACGGCCACAAUUGCUGUAUCCCUCCUUUCAAAAGCCGAUUUCGACGCUCGCCGAUCCUCAUCCCCGCUCAAACCAGAUCUCUUCUCUGAUCUCUCCAAGUCUCUUCCUGCUCUCGCGAAAAAGGGUUAAAUACAAAUGGCUGAGGCAAAACCAGGAAUGAGGAAACCAGUUUUCACCAAGGUUGAUCAGCUGCGGCCGGGCACCAGUGGACACACUCUCACAGUGAAGGUUGUUAGUUCAAAGAUGGUAUUGCAGAAAGGUCGCCCUGAUGGACCCCAAGUACGCCAAAUGCGAAUUGCUGAAUGCUUGGUUGGAGAUGAAACUGGAAUGAUUGUAUUUACAGCCAGGAAUGAUCAAGUGGACCUGAUGAAGCCUGAUACUACAGUAAUCUUGCGCAAUGCUAAAAUCGACAUGUUCAAGGGAUCAAUGAGGCUUGCGGUGGACAAGUGGGGUCGUGUAGAAGUGACUGAACCGGCCAGCUUCACCGUCAAAGAAGACAACAACCUGUCACUGGUAGAGUAUGAAUUAGUUAAUGUUGUUGAAGAGUGACCUGUGGGACAGCAGGCAGUCUCUCAUUAGGGGGACAAAAUUGAAUCAAGGGGGAGAGAUAUGAUUUUGUGGCUUAUGAAAAUGGAGAAGUGGUAUUUUAUGUUAUUUCCUGGUCAUCUUGUGUGCACGAUGCCUGAGGAAAAUUCAUGUUUAGGAAGGAGCUAUUACUACAAAAGGAAGUCUGGUUGUACCUUGCAGGCAAUUGAGGCAGCUGGAGGAGCCAUUUAGGCCUCGGGUGCAGCUAGUAAUUAGAGUCUGGAUAACAAAAAAAAAAAAAAAAGGAACUUGCUUUGGUUAUUUCUUUUAAUGUUAUGACGUGAAUUGCUCCUGUUAUGAGAUAUUAUUAUCAAUGAAUAUUAUGCAAGUUGAGUUGCCCCUAA
This is a long non-coding RNA of Vitis vinifera (wine grape), 1050 nucleotides long. RefSeq lists it as uncharacterized. The record is from RefSeq and is a predicted model, not a curated record. Lineage: Eukaryota; Viridiplantae; Streptophyta; Magnoliopsida; Vitales; Vitaceae. The transcript is spliced from 3 exons.